Long non-coding RNA from Zea mays, 355 nucleotides. RefSeq lists it as uncharacterized. The record is from RefSeq and is a predicted model, not a curated record. Lineage: Eukaryota; Viridiplantae; Streptophyta; Magnoliopsida; Poales; Poaceae. The transcript has 3 exons.
CAAUUUCUCAUCCGAGUGUUCUUCAAUUUCUCAUCCGAGUGUUCUUCAAGUCCCAUGCAUAUAUUAAUAAGCACUUGCUAAUGUGCUUCACAACUGGUUAUGCAUGCAGCCUCUUCAUGCUUUGAAGGAUACAUCUUCAAUCUUUCAAAUAUUAUGAUACUGACAAUGACGUUAACAGACAAUAUAUUGUUAAAGGAGGUGCUCGCACGGAGGAGGACCUCAACGUGGUGGGCAUACUUUGCAGGUCUCCUGUUCUUCAGCUGAAGAUCAUACUUGCUGUGGAGCCUUUGAUCCCUUCAGAGGGACCAAGGAUUGGAGAGCACAUUUUCGGUUACACGGUCAGUACAUAAUCUAU